AUACGUAGGGGGCGAGCGUUAUCCGGAAUUAUUGGGCGUAAAGAGUACGUAGGUGGUUGCGUAAGCGCAAGGUGAAAGACCGGGGCUUAACUUCGGUGAGCCUUGUGAACUGCGUGACUUGAGUGCAGGAGGGGAAAGUGGAAUUCCUAGUGUAGCGGUGAAAUGCGUAGAUAUUAGGAAGAACACCGGUGGCGAAGGCGGCUAUCUGGACAGUAACUGACGCUGAGGCGCGAAAGCGUGGGGAGCAAACAGGAUUAGAUACCCGGGUAGUCCUAGCCGUAAACGAUGCGGACUUGGUGUUGGGAUGGCUUUGAGCCGCUUCGGUGCCGAAGGGAAGCUGUUAAGUCCGCCGCCUGGGAAGUACGGUCGCAAGACUGAAACUUAAAGGAAUUGACGGGG
This 399-nucleotide ribosomal RNA is filed under the name uncultured bacterium. RNAcentral's name for it is "partial 16S ribosomal RNA". It matches the Rfam family "Bacterial small subunit ribosomal RNA", at positions 523 to 918 of the family's 1533-position model. The record is from RNAcentral.